RNAcentral lists this ribosomal RNA (301 nucleotides) under uncultured bacterium. Its description in RNAcentral is "partial 16S ribosomal RNA". It matches the Rfam family "Bacterial small subunit ribosomal RNA", at positions 509 to 809 of the family's 1533-position model. The record is from RNAcentral.
CAGUAGCCGCGGUAAAACGGAGGGGGCUAGCGUUGUUCGGAAUUACUGGGCGUAAAGCGCACGUAGGCGGUUUUGUAAGUCAGAGGUGAAAGCCCGGAGCUCAACUCCGGAACUGCCUUUGAGACUGCAUCACUUGAACGUCGGAGAGGUGAGUGGAAUUCCGAGUGUAGAGGUGAAAUUCGUAGAUAUUCGGAAGAACACCAGUGGCGAAGGCGGCUCACUGGACGACUGUUGACGCUGAGGUGCGAAAGCGUGGGGAGCAAACAGGAUUAGAUACCCCGGUAGUCCCUGUCUCUUAUAA